UGAUCUAGGUGUCCCUGCUCCAGAAGGGGGGCUAGACUAGAUGAUCUUUCAAGGUCCCUUCAAAUCCCUAACAACCUGUGAUUCUGCGAUUUUCUCCUCCUCCUGUCAGAUUAGCAGUUACAGCCAUAAUACAUCAAUCUCUAACUUAAAAAACAAACAACCAAAAAAGUCAUGCCUCAGCAGGUUACUGCUGCAGAUAUUACAUAGCACAGAUUUAAAAUUCUUAUUUCACUUGAAUGAACUCUGUUUUCCCGUUUGCUUUUCCUCCACUUUCUCUGAGACCAGUGAAGUAACCUAGGCCUUAGCUGACAGGGCAGAAACAAAUGAGUGAAGGCGACAUGCCUAGUGAGCUGCCUGAUGAAGAAAAUCCUAACUACUAUUAAGCCUUAUACAGUGAAGCAUCAGAUCCAGAUUAAUUGAGUAUUCUGAAUGUUUUAUGUCAUAUAUGGGAUGCUUUCAGCUAGUAUAUGAUUUUGCUUUUAAAAACAGGAAGAACAAAAAUAACCUGCAGCUCUAUCCUAUGAGGUCAUGACAAAAAAGCAUACAGAACAGUAACAAAGAUACUUAACAAAACAAAAUUCAAAGAGGGGACUAAUUGGAUUUCUGCCUGUGUUGUUUAGAUUCUGGAGGAUACUGUUUUUCUAAUGUUUCAAAGGCCCUUUAAUCAGACAGUACAUAUGCUUCAUGUAAAUUACCUCAUACCAAUAAUAACACAUACUAAUGCCUAUUAAAGAUAUAUAAAAAUAAUUUCAGACACAUAUGUAACCAUAGUUUCAGACACUGACCAAUAAAAGUCAGUGUGUCAAUAAAUAAUCUGGUUUGUGUCUGAAUAACCUGGCUACUGUACAAUAUGGUUUGCAUUUGAACAACUUCCAUCUGUCACAAGCUGGACUCUGCUCUGAAGAAUAACAAUAUAAUGACCAGGGAAAUCACAGCAACUGCUGAGAGUGAAGGGAUGAUAAAAAUACAGCAGUGGUCCGCUGCUCUGUAGCAUCACGAAUGAAGAAGGAAUGACUUAUGAGCAAUGCCAUUUAAUCAGUGACAUAUUACCAUGGCUUCAACUUUUUGUUCUCAUCUCUAGCUUUCUCAGCUGCCUGUCUCAGAAAGGAAAAUAAAGGAAGCUCAGAGAUCUUCAACUCAGAAGAGUAUGAACUCAUGGAAAUGGAAGAGAAAUAACAAUGGUCAGGUAAGGGACAGAGACAGAGAGAGAAACAGAACAUUUCUAUUCUCUUAAGAAAGUGAGACAAGUUGUCCUUUCAGCUGCAAGAGUGGGAAUGGGUAAUCAAGAUAUGGAAAUGACAAAAAUACUUUGAUUCUGGUUUGUUGUUUUUUGAAACACCCACUGUGUACAAAUGCCUGCAUAUAAGUAUGAAAAAAUAUGGAAAUUAAUGGAAAUCUGAUCCAUGACAUUUUUAGGGCUCCAUGCAGGCAAAUCCGAACAAUAAAUAUAUUUAACGGUUAUGAACAAAAAGGGAGGAAAAUUAGAUAGGCUUAUGUUCAGUUUCAGACCACACGACUCAUACUAUUCUUUCAAUGCCUACUUCUGCAGUUGCUUCAUCCACAGAACUCCAAGCCUGCAAGAACUUCUUGUGCAAAUGAUAUAAUAAUCAAAUUGUAGGGCAAUAUUAAAAAACAUACCUCCAUUCUGCAAGAUCUGUCACAGAAGUCCCUAAGAUAAUAUCUGCAAAUCAGUGUAAAGUGCCAUUGCUAUGCAGUAAUUUAAAACCUGAGAACUUGUUACAAUGGCUCACUUCCCUGCGGGGUGCCUAACACUGUACUGUCACCACAAUUACUGGAAAUAACCAAAGGAUGGAUUUAUCUCACUGCCUAUCUACUCACUUAAGAUCAUGCUCUUGAGCAACAGGAAAAAAUACUCAUUUCCAAACAACGCAUACACUGAACAUUGUUUAAAAAAGUCAUGCUCACACCCAUAUUUUAUAUUUUAUUAGUAUCUCAGAAAGUCGGAUACCCGUUUCGUUUACUUGCAUUAAAUUGAACUGAAAAUUAAACCAAGUUUUUUUUUCCCCCACACACUUCUAACUAUUCUUGAGUGAAAGAAUUAAGACAGCAUCUAUUGGAUUUGCCCUCCUCAAGUAUUUCUGAACCGAUGGCAUUCAUGGCACUAUACCCAACAAAUGACAAUUACGUUAUUUACACUGAAAUUUGGACAUACAUCUGAGUAUUUGUCAGUCUUGGUGAGGAACAAACAAUUUUAGAAGAUUGUGACAAGCAAGGCAUUAUAACAACCUGAAAUUUAAAAAGUCUUUUUUGUAUUUUAAGAAACUGUUGGUCAUAAGAAUCCAAAUUAUAUCUAACAACAUUGCAAGUUCCGUUUUUAACCAAACCAACCAACACAAAACUCCUCCCUUCUCUCUCUGUGCUGAGGACAAGGAUCAAUACCGUACUACUGACCAGCAGUUUUUAACAGCUACACAACGCCAUCUGCUGACACUAUGAAGACAGAACACAGUUAUUUCAGAGUGCAACAUGCCAUCUCUGGAAGCAAUUUCGUUUUUGUUUGCCUAAUUAAAUACAGUUAAGUCUGUUGUCUUCUGAUAGACUGAAUCCUGGAUUCGAAGUCCCAAAAGAUUUCUCUAGUCGUUGCUCUUAAAAAGCUGCAUUAUUUAAAAUAUAUUUACAAAGUGCUGUCUGUAAACAGAAGAUCAAAGCACCAAUAUUUGCAUAUUGAUGUGAAUAUUAACAUAUUAAUAUUUACAACUUAAAAGAAGACAAAUUAAUUUAG
Long non-coding RNA from Oxyura jamaicensis (ruddy duck), 2743 nucleotides. RefSeq lists it as uncharacterized. The transcript is spliced from 2 exons. The record is from RefSeq and is a predicted model, not a curated record. Lineage: Eukaryota; Metazoa; Chordata; Aves; Anseriformes; Anatidae.